This is a non-coding RNA of Pelobates cultripes (western spadefoot toad), 229 nucleotides long. The record is from the annotation of a GenBank genome assembly. Lineage: Eukaryota; Metazoa; Chordata; Amphibia; Anura; Pelobatidae.
GAGAACUUAAGGCCAUCUGUCUACCAGCUGAAGCUCAACAGAAGAUGGGUGUUGCAACAGGACAAUGACCCAAAGCAUAGAAGUAAAUCAACAACAGAACGGCUUAAACAGAAGAAAAUACGCCUUCUGAAGUGGCCCAGUCAGAGUCCUGACCUCAACCCAAUUGAGAUGCUGUGGCAUGACCUCAAGAAAGCGAUUCACACCAGACAUCCCAAGAAUAUUGCUGAAC